This 752-nucleotide ribosomal RNA is filed under the name Priestia megaterium. RNAcentral's name for it is "bacterial SSU rRNA". It matches the Rfam family "Bacterial small subunit ribosomal RNA", at positions 52 to 785 of the family's 1533-position model. The record is from RNAcentral. Lineage: Bacteria; Bacillati; Bacillota; Bacilli; Caryophanales; Bacillaceae.
UACAUGCAAGUCGAGCGAACUGAUUAGAAGCUUGCUUCUAUGACGUUAGCGGCGGACGGGUGAGUAACACGUGGGCAACCUGCCUGUAAGACUGGGAUAACUUCGGGAAACCGAAGCUAAUACCGGAUAGGAUCUUCUCCUUCAUGGGAGAUGAUUGAAAGAUGGUUUCGGCUAUCACUUACAGAUGGGCCCGCGGUGCAUUAGCUAGUUGGUGAGGUAACGGCUCACCAAGGCAACGAUGCAUAGCCGACCUGAGAGGGUGAUCGGCCACACUGGGACUGAGACACGGCCCAGACUCCUACGGGAGGCAGCAGUAGGGAAUCUUCCGCAAUGGACGAAAGUCUGACGGAGCAACGCCGCGUGAGUGAUGAAGGCUUUCGGGUCGUAAAACUCUGUUGUUAGGGAAGAACAAGUACGAGAGUAACUGCUUGUACCUUGACGGUACCUAACCAGAAAGCCACGGCUAACUACGUGCCAGCAGCCGCGGUAAUACGUAGGUGGCAAGCGUUAUCCGGAAUUAUUGGGCGUAAAGCGCGCGCAGGCGGUUUCUUAAGUCUGAUGUGAAAGCCCACGGCUCAACCGUGGAGGGUCAUUGGAAACUGGGGAACUUGAGUGCAGAAGAGAAAAGCGGAAUUCCACGUGUAGCGGUGAAAUGCGUAGAGAUGUGGAGGAACACCAGUGGCGAAGGCGGCUUUUUGGUCUGUAACUGACGCUGAGGCGCGAAAGCGUGGGGAGCAAACAGGAUUAGAUAC